RNAcentral lists this ribosomal RNA (467 nucleotides) under uncultured bacterium. Its description in RNAcentral is "partial 16S ribosomal RNA". It matches the Rfam family "Bacterial small subunit ribosomal RNA", at positions 28 to 507 of the family's 1533-position model. The record is from RNAcentral.
GAUGAACGCUGGCGGCGUGCUUAACACAUGCAAGUCGAACGGAAAGGCCCAAGCUUGCUUGGGUACUCGAGUGGCGAACGGGUGAGUAACACGUGGGUGAUCUGCCCUGCACUUCGGGGUAAGCCUGGGAAACUGGGUCUAAUACUGGAUAGGACCACGUCUUGGGUGUUGUGGUGGAAAGUUUUUUCGGUUGGGGAUGAGCUCGCGUCCUAUCAGCUUGUUGGUGGGGUAAUGUCCUACCAAGGCGUCGGCGGGUAGCCGGCCUGGGGGGGUGUACGGCCACAGUGGGACUGGGACUAGGCCCCGACUCCCACGGGAAGGAGCAGUGGGGGAUGUUGAAAUAGGGGAGUGAGCCCGAUGCCGAUACGGCCCGGCGGGGAUGACGGUCUUCGGGUUGGAAAUGCCUUUCGCUAGGGACGAAGCGGUUUGUGACGGUACCUGGAGAAGAAGCACCGGCUAACUACGUG